Molecule: ribosomal RNA, 999 nt
Filed under: uncultured bacterium
Lineage: Bacteria
Description: bacterial SSU rRNA
Rfam family: Bacterial small subunit ribosomal RNA
Source: RNAcentral
CAGCCGCCGCGGUAAUACGGAGGAGGCAAGCGUUGUCCGGAAUCAUUGGGCGUAAAGAGCGCGUAGGCUGUUUUUCAAGUCAUAUGUGAAAACCUCAGGCUUAACUUGAGGACUGCAUAUGAAACUGGAAAACUUGAGUGCAGUAGGGGAAAGUGGAAUUCCUGGUGUAGCGGUGAAAUGCGCAGAUAUCAGGAAGAACACCGGUAGCGAAGGCGGCUUUCUGGGCUGCUACUGACGCUGAGGCGCGAAAGCUAGGGGAGCAAACAGGAUUAGAUACCCUGGUAGUCCUAGCUGUAAACGAUGGACACUAGGUGUGGGGAGUUAUCGACGCUUUCCGUGCCGGAGCUAACGCAUUAAGUGUCCCGCCUGGGGAGUACGGUCGCAAGACUAAAACUCAAAGGAAUUGACGGGGGCCCGCACAAGCGGCGGAGCAUGUGGCUUAAUUCGAUGCAACGCGAAGAACCUUACCAAGGCUUGACAUCAUAUUGACGAUUAUAGAAAUAUAAUUUCUCUUCGGAGCAAUAUGACAGGUGGUGCAUGGCUGUCGUCAGCUCGUGUCGUGAGAUGUUGGGUUAAGUCCCGCAACGAGCGCAACCCUUGUCCCAUGUUGCUAACAGUUCGGCUGAGCACUCUUGGGAUACUGCCAGCGUAAAGCUGGAGGAAGGUGGGGAUGACGUCAAGUCAUCAUGCCCUUUAUGCCUUGGGCCGCACACGUGCUACAAUGGACCGUACAAAGAGCAGCGAUACUGUGAAGUGGAGCAAAUCUGAUAAAGCGGUUCAAAGUCCGGAUCGCAGGCUACAAUUCGCCUGCGUCAAGUUGAAAUCGCUAGUAAUCGCGGAUCAGCAUUGCCGCGGUGAAUACGUUCUCGGGCCUUGUACACACCGCCCGUCACAUCACGAAAGUUGGUCAUACCCGAAGUCGUUGAGCUAACCCUUCGGGGAGGUAAGUGCCGAAGGUGUGGUCGAUGAUUGGGGUGAAGUCGUAACAAGGUACCCGUA